Molecule: ribosomal RNA, 293 nt
Filed under: uncultured bacterium
Lineage: Bacteria
Description: partial 16S ribosomal RNA
Rfam family: Bacterial small subunit ribosomal RNA
Source: RNAcentral
GGAUUAGAUACCCUGGUAGUCCACGCCGUAAACGAUGGUCACUAGCUGUUUGACUAACAUUGGUUAGUUGAGUGGCUAAGCGAAAGUGAUAAGUGACCCACCUGGGGAGUACGUUCGCAAGAAUGAAACUCAAAGGAAUUGACGGGGGCCCGCACAAGCGGUGGAGCAUGUGGUUUAAUUCGAUGAUACGCGAGGAACCUUACCAGGGCUUAAAUGUUAGGUGACAGAUCUAGAAAUAGAUUUUUCUUCGGACACUUAACAAGGUGCUGCAUGGUUGUCGUCAGCUCGUGUUG